UCUGUCAGCAGCCGUUUUUUAUCCCCUCCUUUAUUAUCUCACGUACCCUCUGUUGCUGAGCGUGAAAUGAUCGUUUUGCCUCAUCAUUCAGGCGACAUUAUCCUCACUGAUCUUCCAGUGUCUACUCCCACCUUCAUGAUCCGUCUUCUGCUGAAUGAUUCCACAGUUUAGGGACGUGUUCUAAAUCUGGCACCUUGCAAGCAGCAAAGGGAUCUAACCGUGAAAGCUCAGACUUGAUCCCGAGGGAUUUAUUAUCUUUUAGUUUCCCCGUGAAACGCUUUCCAUUGCAGUGAACUUUCAGCAACAGCUCCAGCCUUCGCCCAAGAACCAAUGGCUUGAGACUGAAACACUGUCAUUCGGUCCGAUGGGAGUCGGGGAGAUUAGUAUUUUCGGUCUUAUCUCUUUCGAAAUAUCUGUGUAGAGAAGGCGUCAGGAUUGUUUUCAUGUGUCUUUUACAGCUGCUGGACAGACCGUGUGUGUGUUAUCUGGAGCGGACAGCAUGGCACGUUUCCACUUGUAUUUGAACUCCGCAAUGCUGGUGUUAAUUACUUGUGAUUUCCGCCUAGUGACAGCCACUGAUAGACCACCUGCUCCUGUUAAUGUCACUGUCAGUCACCUGAAGGCCAACUCUGCCACUGUGUCCUGGGAUAUUCCUGAAGGAGAUAUUAUCAUUGGCUAUGCCAUUUCACAAUUGAGAAAAGAUGGUCAGAUGCAAAGAUCUAUCCGUGAAGUGAAUACAACAAAUCGAGCCUGUGUUCUGUGGGAUUUGGAGGACGACACGGAAUAUGUGAUUCAAGUUCAGUCAGUUGGUCUGAAUGGGGAAAGUCGGGCAAGCAAGCGUGUCCAAUUCAGAACUCUAAAGGAAACUGACUGGGUUCCUUCAAAUAGCUCAAAUAAAGAUGACCCAACAGUCCAGGAGAUGAACUUACCUUUGCAGACAGGAGAGAUGAUUAUUAUUGUGACUGUCUUGAUCAUGUGGGCAGCUGUUAUAGCUCUCUUCUGCAGACAGUAUGACAUCAUUAAAGACAACGACUCAAAUAAUAACAAGGAGAAGGCCAAGCCCUCAUCAGAACACAGCACGCCAGAGCAUCCGACUGGUGGAUUAAUGCGCAGUAAGUUCCAAAAUAACACACCGGCAAUUAACAUCAUUGAAGUUUGACUACUGCAGUAUGGCUCUACAAAUGGGACAAGUAUUCAACAGACUAAAGGAACAUUGUCUAAACCUUAUGAAUCCAUAUUUAGCAUCAUUAAUACCAUCUUUAUGCCGAAAAGCAUGCCAUAGCAAAGGCUUCCUUUCCUCAAAGGACCUGCAUGGAGAUUAAGGCUGUGCUUAAGGGAUUCUUUCUUCAGCAUAAAGGGCCACCAAAGGUGACCCAUGCAGAUGAUGUCCAGAGACAUGCAGUAUUGGCUCAGAUCUACAUGAAGCACUGCAGACAUCAGAGCAUCCUACUCCAUUGAGGUCCUGCUCUCAUUUAAUGGUUUGCCAAUCUAACAUUCUUUGUCAAGUUUGUGGGGACCAAUAUGAUGGUCAGCUCAGGGACUCAACACCUGGAAAGAGCUCAAUUAUGAUAUAGCAUGGUUCUAGAUCUGCACUCAGUGAAUUUCCAUGCACCUAAUGGAUUGAACAGAUAAAGUUCUGUUGGAAACUUUAACAAGGAAGCAAAUGUGGUGUUGAAAUCCCAAGAAAGAUCAACUGUAGUGACAAAAUCAAGAUAUUGCUGAUGUUAAAAAUCUGAAAUAUAAACAGAAGAAACUCAGUAGGCCGGGCUGCAAGUGUGGAAAGAAAAAUGACAUUUCAAGCUGAUGACCCUUUAAAUGAACAAAUGUAUUGUAAAAAAGUGGAAUGAUUGAGUUGGUGUUAAAAAAGAGAAUUUAAACACUCCUGAAAGGUUUAGAAAAUAUAGAUAAGUUGCGUAUUAUUGUAGCAAACUGUAUGAAAUAGGAAGAUCAUAUUCUCUGUUCAAGUGGCUGAUCCCAGCUGAAGUGAAAAUCAGGGUGCUUCAAAAAAGAGAUUAGUCAUGGUUUCCAUUCAGUAGCCAAAACUGAGAAGUAUUCAGGCAUGGAAAUCGGUUCAGGGCAAAAUCCUGCUUGAAUGUCAUACUACUUACAGCUUGUUGUUGAAUCUUGCACACAAAUUAAAGUGACCACUUUGCUUAGGUUCUGCAGUGCAACAGGCUGCUCAGGAACCAAAUCCAAGUAUUAAUCAGCAUUGAUAGAGCAUAUGUGAAAAUAAUUAGGAGUAAGUAAACAUCCUCUCAGUUAUACAACAGAGUUCUAAGGAUGCUAAUAAGUUAGACACUCUUGAUAAUUUCAGUGGAAAUUUAAGACUGAGUUUAAAAAUGGAAACUUAGGUUGUACUGGCAUACUAUUUUAAGUAGAACUAUUAGCUAACAGUCCAUGCCUCUCUUCCCAUCUCCUCACAAUGCUCCCCACCAAGUCCAUCGCAGACUAAUUUUAUUUUAAAGCUGAUUAAUUUGAUGCACCAUCUAUUGAAAUGCUAGGAAAGCUGAGCAUAUUGUUUCAUAAUAACCGCACGUUGUUUAUGAUAACAAUGCAGAAAAUGUCCCAGAGACCUACCUUGCACAAAAAUUGCAAUUGUGAAAAUUAGAGAGAGUGCAGGACUUAUAAAAGGUUUCUAAUUUGAAGUUGAUGAACUCACUUCCAGGAUAUGCAACAAAUUACAGCUUGAAUGUAGAAUUUGGCUGAGCUGUAUAGAUUCAGCAUGUGUAUACUACAUUGUGGCAUGGCAUAGUAAAAUAUACAUGAUAUUGGAAUCUGUGUUAAAUGCAAAGGCCCCGUAUUAUUUCAGAGAAUUUGUCAGUAUGGCACUGAAAUAUCAAAUUGCUGGGGCCUGCUCAAAGAUACAGUGAACUGCUUCAAAUGGUCUGAUGUGGGAUUCAAAAGUGAAGAAUAAUUUGUGAAUUUUUUUAGCAUGUUGUACGUCAUAUGUAUUUUUGUAUGAAUCAUUCUUCUGAACAAUACAGGUUAAUCACUCCAGUGUUCUCCACAAAUGCCAUGUUUCCUCACUUUGGAGUAUAGUUAUUUCUGCUGCUAGUAUUACUGCAAGCCAUAAGUGGCCCAAAAUUGGAAAUUUUACUUUGCUGAGCUUGAAAACUAGCAAAAGAAGGAAUUUCAACCACUGUCAACUUCUCCAGGGCAAUAAAUACCAGCCUUUUAGGUGUUGCCAACAUUCUGGGAACUACUUUUUAAAAUAUUUUACCACCAAAUGUAAUCCAUAUUUGCCAGCAUUCUUGAUCCUAAAGGAAGAAGUAUAUAUUUUGGGAAGAUAAUUUUUGUUGUGAAGUAUAUUCCACAUAGAAAAACAGAAGUAGUAAAUAAUUUCAUAAAUAAGAUUGCUAUGUUUAAAAGAAUCAAAAAUUAGUAUAUCGCCAGUUUCUAAAAUGGGUCAGAAACUGGGUCAGCAAGAAAGGCAUACCAUUUGUCUGUCCACUUCAACAUGUUUCUUUUUAUAAAUGACUUAAAGUUGACACAGUUAUUUUAACUCUGCUCAUCUCUGGAAUUGGGUAAACAUGUAGCUAGGUCUAAUGGAAUGAAAGCUUCUUCUGCCCACGAGAUGUAGAGGCCUCACAUGAAGCAGUUUUGGGCAUUAGCAACAGAGUUCUUGGUGCAGUUGGGAUUCAGAGCAACAAAUCAGCACCUAUUCUGGCAUCAACUGGGACUAAAUUGGCAGAUUAACUCAGACAGGUUGCAUGGAUGACUGUGCAGGAAAUGAAUAAAAUGCUACACGACUCCAGGAAAGGAUUAUUUUCUAAAUUGAAGUAGAAGCAUACAGUUAAAGUAAAGUGCAUUGUUAUGUGAGAAUAACUGGUUCUGACACUCAGUGCCCAGAAAUUUACUGAUAAUCAUUGAAUAAAUAUUAAUAACAAAAUUAACUAGUGGAUCAUUAGGAGAUAGAAUCACUAAUAUUAAAUAUUUUACUGCCAAUGUCAGUUUGGCAGGGUAUUUUGAUUAAUCAGUUAUGAAAAAUCGGUGUAUUAUCUGAGAUCCUUGUUUGAACAUAUAUGUUAUGUUUGUUGGCCUGGCUAAGUCCACUUUUGAAGAGUAAAACACUGUCAGAGAAAUGAAACAGAGCCUAUUCAUUCAGAGGCAGUCUAGAAGUGGUUUUAGUAUUAAAAUUAUGUUUAAUAUUGCUUUUCUGUACUCCUAAGAUUUAUGUAUAAUUGAAAUUAUCCAUAUCUAAGC
Molecule: RNA transcript, 4203 nt
Organism: Stegostoma tigrinum
Lineage: Eukaryota; Metazoa; Chordata; Chondrichthyes; Orectolobiformes; Stegostomatidae
Gene: fndc4a
Gene name: fibronectin type III domain containing 4a
Exons: 7
Source: RefSeq, a predicted model, not a curated record